This 201-nucleotide long non-coding RNA is filed under the name Gossypium barbadense (sea-island cotton). Its description in RNAcentral is "long non-coding RNA (GBAR_LNC023340)". The record is from RNAcentral. Lineage: Eukaryota; Viridiplantae; Streptophyta; Magnoliopsida; Malvales; Malvaceae.
CAACACAGUGUUCAAGCUGCAUAUUAUUAUUAGUUUGUAACACAGAUUGAUUUUGAGGUUAAGAAGGGAAACACGUUUUUCGAUCCCUUCUCUGCAGCUUUGGGUUUGGUUAUCAUAUUUGGGAUUUUGAAUCCUCCUCAGCAAAUUGCUCUAGUGCUUUUGGUUUGGCGAAGAUAACAAGAGGUAAAGGGAGUUCCCUUU